Molecule: ribosomal RNA, 439 nt
Filed under: uncultured bacterium
Lineage: Bacteria
Description: partial 16S ribosomal RNA
Rfam family: Bacterial small subunit ribosomal RNA
Source: RNAcentral
CCUACGGGUGGCAGCAGUGGGGGAUAUUGCACAAUGGGGGCAACCCUGAUGCAGCGACGCCGCGUGAGCGAUGGAGUACUUCGGUAUGUAAAGCUCUGUCAGCAGGGAAGAGAAUGACGGUACCUGACCAAGAAGCCCCGGCAAAAUACGUGCCAGCAGCCGCGGUAAUACGCAGGGGGCAGGCGUUAGCCGGAUGUAUUGGGUUAAAGGGGUGCGCAGGGGGAGGUGCAAGUCAGCGGGAAAAUUGCGGGGCUAAACCCCGUAGUGCCGUUGAAACUGCAUCCCUUGAGUGCGAAAGAGGUAUGCGGAAUGCGUGGUGUAGCGGUGAAAUGCAUAGAUAUCACGCAGAACUCCGAGUGCGAAGGCAGCAUACCGGCGCGCAACUGACGCUCAUGCACGAAAGCGUGGGUAUCGAACAGGAUUAGAUACCCUAGUAGUC